This 511-nucleotide ribosomal RNA is filed under the name Acmaea mitra (whitecap limpet). RNAcentral's name for it is "bacterial SSU rRNA". It matches the Rfam family "Eukaryotic small subunit ribosomal RNA", at positions 60 to 494 of the family's 1831-position model. The record is from RNAcentral. Lineage: Eukaryota; Metazoa; Mollusca; Gastropoda; Acmaeidae.
UAAGUUCAGGCUUGUUCCUUUCGGGGCAGCGAGCCGAAACUGCGAACGGCUCAUUAGUCAGAUAAGGUUCCUUGGCGAAAAGCGGGUCGGUUUAAUGGAUAACUGUGGUAAUUCUAGAGCUAAUACAUGCAACGCACCGUGGUCCCCCCUCUUCCCCAUCGUGCUCGAGGGGGGAAACGGCAUUUAUUCUCUGGACCAGAUCGCCCUAGCCUGCGAAGCUACCGUCAAAAGUAGCGACGGGGCGAGCGACAAGUGUUGAAAUCCGAAUAACUGUGCCGAUCGCGGGGUCUUUCCGGGCCCCCGACGACUUUGCCAUGAAGUGUCUGUCCCAUCAAUUUGCGAUGGUCGGCGACCUGCCUACCACGGUGUUGACGGGUAACGGGGAAUCAGGGUUCGAUUCCGGAGAGGGAGCCUGCGAAACGGCUACCACCUCCAAGGAGGGCAGCAGGCGCGCAACUUACCCAAUCCCGACACGGGGAGGUAGUGACGAAAAAUAACGUGGCGGGGCCCU